Molecule: long non-coding RNA, 1481 nt
Filed under: Pan troglodytes (chimpanzee)
Lineage: Eukaryota; Metazoa; Chordata; Mammalia; Primates; Hominidae
Description: long non-coding RNA NONPTRT009005
Source: RNAcentral
CAGCAGCUGGAAGGAAAUGUACUUGUGCGCUUUGUUUCCUAACUCAAGCAGGAAGUGUGCGUGGGUGGAACCUUCUCUGCGCCCCUCUGCCUGGCUUCUCAUUGUGCAUGUCAAUCCUUGCAGGUGAAUGGAAUCGCGUUCCAUCCUGUUCAUGGCACCCUUGCAACUGUGGGAUCUGAUGGUAGAUUCAGCUUCUGGGACAAAGAUGCCAGAACAAAACUAAAAACUUCGGAACAGUUAGAUCAGCCCAUCUCAGCUUGCUGUUUCAAUCACAAUGGAAACAUAUUUGCGUACGCUUCCAGCUACGACUGGUCAAAGGGACAUGAAUUUUAUAAUCCCCAGAAAAAAAAUUACAUUUUCCUGCGUAAUGCAGCCGAAGAGCUAAAGCCCAGGAAUAAGAAGUAGUGGCUGGAGACUCUGGCUCAGCCAGAGUUGUUUCUCUCCACUCUGCCUCAUCUCUGUACGAAUUUGGGUCCCAGCCUUGUUGGGUUGUCAGCCAUGGACAUGGAUUUCAACCCCUGGAGAAAAUGAUGUCAUUGUUCAGCAGCUGAGAGCCCAGGCGUCCGCGGCGACUUGCCGUCUCUCCAUUCCACUGCCUGUUGCAGAGUUUUUCUGUAACUAAGGGGGUUGAGGUUAUUGUAGAUUGCGGGCACCGCCAGGGAUUUUGCAGCGCUUCAGUGUACGUGUUAGAGAAUAUUGGAAAAGCGUCUGUGAGCCCCGUGCUGUAUUUUGUAAUAAAGUCUUUUGCAGAUUGCUUUCCGAGCUUCCUUUGUCCUUUUCUCUUGCCCACCCUGUAACCUCAGGAACGUGCGUCCUGCCCAGCAUCAGCGUGGGGUUUUGAGUUGAGAUUUCAGACACCCUCUGGGAAAUGCAGCAACCUUAGGGGAAAGGGAGUCCCCAGCUGCGCUCACUUCUGCUGCGCGGAACGGCAGCCUCUGUGAGCCCUGGUGGGCAGAGUUUGAAUGUGUUUUUCCUUGCUUCCCUCAUUCCCAUCUUCAAAAUCCCCAGUGCUUUCUGGCCUUGCUGCUCAGAUUUCCGAGUGACUCAAAUGGGGACUGUUACUUGUGCUGGGUGACAGGCCAUUUGUGGGUAACCUCCUAAGGCCCAAGUGGGUGACACUUGCGUGACUUUCAAGUUAGAACCCAAGCCCCCUGCAUGGGAAUUGCCCGGAACUCUUACCCACCCCGGUCCCCUGCAUGGGAAUUGCCCUGAACCCUCAGUAGUGGUUGUUUGGCUGUUCUUUUGUAUUUUGUGUAAUUUUAAAUUCCUGGUUGGUAAGUAUUCAAAAUGAAAUUCAGCUGGCCUGAGAAAAAAUGUGACUUUUGGGUCUAUCACUAUAUUUCUCACCUGUGAUCUCAAACGCUUCUUAGGCCUUUCUGUUUGGACUAAUGUGUGAAGUCUGACUUGCUGAGUGUAAAAUUCUAGUAUUGAUAGUGUUGUAAGAUGUGUUUGCCUACUCAUAAAAAACAAUGAAAAUAAAA